Molecule: ribosomal RNA, 19 nt
Filed under: Crotalus concolor (midget faded rattlesnake)
Lineage: Eukaryota; Metazoa; Chordata; Lepidosauria; Squamata; Viperidae
Also listed under: 2 other names
Description: Crotalus oreganus concolor (midget faded rattlesnake) partial 12S ribosomal RNA
Source: RNAcentral
GGUCUUGGUCUCAAACCUC